GAACAUGGAGGAGACAAGUGUGGUGCCGUCGGUGAUUUGGUGGAGUUUCUUGGCGCCGAAGUAGUCGACUAAAACAUGGAGGGAGAGGACAUUUUUGAGGGUGGUGAUGGAGAGGUGUUUGUCUAGGAGGGAGGACAUGGCGGCAUUGUCUAUGGCUAGGAUGGUUAUGGUUUGACGGCGGUUGAUUUCGUCGGCGAGGUGGGUUAUGGUGAGGUAGUGGUUGAAGGUGGAGAAGCCAGGGUGUUUGGCUAGAAUGCGGGUGAUGUUAUGGUUGCCGGAGGUGGCGGCAGCGGCGGUGGUGGAAUGAAUGAGU
Molecule: long non-coding RNA, 313 nt
Filed under: Medicago truncatula (barrel medic)
Lineage: Eukaryota; Viridiplantae; Streptophyta; Magnoliopsida; Fabales; Fabaceae
Description: long non-coding RNA (MTRU_LNC003732)
Source: RNAcentral